GAUGAACGCUGGCGGUAUGCUUAACACAUGCAAGUCGAACGGACUCUUCGGAGUUAGUGGCGGACGGGUGAGUAACGCGUGAGAAUCUGGCUUUGGGUUCGGGACAACCACUGGAAACGGUGGCUAAUACCGGAUGUGCCGAGAGGUAAAAGAGAAAUUGCCUGAAGAUGAGCUCGCGUCUGAUUAGCUAGUUGGUGAGGUAAAGGCUCACCAAGGCAGCGAUCAGUAGCUGGUCUGAGAGGAUGACCAGCCACACUGGGACUGAGACACGGCCCUGACUCCUACGGGAGGCAGCAGUGGGGAAUUUUCCGCAAUGGGCGAAAGCCUGACGGAGCAAUACCGCGUGAGGGAAGAAGGCUCUUGGGUUGUAAACCUCUUUUCUUAGGGAAGAACAAAAUGACGGUACCUAAGGAAUCAGCAUCGGCUAACUCCGUG
Molecule: ribosomal RNA, 435 nt
Filed under: uncultured bacterium
Lineage: Bacteria
Description: partial 16S ribosomal RNA
Rfam family: Bacterial small subunit ribosomal RNA
Source: RNAcentral